GACAGAGGCCUCAAGCGUUGGGCGGAAUCACUGGGCUUAAAGCGUGUGUAGGCGGAUCGUUAAGUGUCUUGUGAAAUCCCACGGCUCACCCGUGGAACGGCUGGGCAUACUGGCGAUCUUGGGCCAACUAGGGGCAACUGGAACAAGCGGUGGAGCGGUGAAAUGCGUAGAUAUCGCUUGGAACGCCAAAGGUGAAAACAGGUUGCUGGGGUUGUGCCGACGCUGAGACACGAAAGCCAGGGGAGCAAACGGG
RNAcentral lists this ribosomal RNA (253 nucleotides) under uncultured bacterium. RNAcentral describes it as "partial 16S ribosomal RNA". It matches the Rfam family "Bacterial small subunit ribosomal RNA", at positions 524 to 776 of the family's 1533-position model. The record is from RNAcentral.